AUUGAACGCUGGCGGCAGGCCUAACACAUGCAAGUCGAGCGGAUGAAGGGAGCUUGCUCCUGGAUUCCGCGGCGCACGGGUGAGUAAUGCCUAUGAAUCUGCCUGGUAGUGGUGGAUAACGUCCUGAAACGGGCGCUACUACCUCCUACGUCCUGAUGGAGCAAGUGGGGGAUCUUCGGACCUCACGCUCUCAUAUGAGCCUAGGUGGGAUUAGCUAGUUGGUGGGGUAAAGGCCUGCCAAGGCGGCGAUCCGUAACUGGUCUGAGAGGAUGAUCAGUCACACGGGAACGGAGACAGGGUCCAGACGCCUAAGGGAGGGAGCAGUGGGGAAUAUUGGGCAAUGGGAGAAAGCAUGAUACAGCCAGGCGGAGUGUGUGAAGAAGGUGUUCGGAUUGUAAAGAAGGUUAAGGGGGGAGGAAGGGCAGUAAGUUAAGACCUUGCUGUUUUGACGGUACCAACAGAAUAAGCACCGGCUAACUUCGUG
Molecule: ribosomal RNA, 484 nt
Filed under: uncultured bacterium
Lineage: Bacteria
Description: partial 16S ribosomal RNA
Rfam family: Bacterial small subunit ribosomal RNA
Source: RNAcentral